Molecule: ribosomal RNA, 43 nt
Filed under: Barkleyanthus salicifolius
Lineage: Eukaryota; Viridiplantae; Streptophyta; Magnoliopsida; Asterales; Asteraceae
Also listed under: 50 other names
Description: partial 26S ribosomal RNA
Source: RNAcentral
CCCGCUGAGUUUAAGCAUAUCAAUAAGCGGAGGAAAGGGCGAA